CACCCCUUCCCAGAUUUCAUUUAAGGCUUGGCAGUGGAGGUGAGGGGGUCUGGCUGGAGCUUCCUGUGUAUCUAAGGCCUUCCAAAGUCACAUCUUUUGAAAUACGUGGUCUUAGUAACAUCCUUUUGAAAUGGAGUCUCAAAGCUGACAAGCAGUGAUUUAUCACAGAACUGAAAGAGGACAUACAGGUGGAUUGUGUGUGCUUCUGACAUCUGAAAAUUUCCACAGUCACCUUCACAAAUAGGAUCUGAAGACUUCAGAAGUCCAGCACUUAAACUCUUUCUGUGGUGAACAGAUUGAGACAUCUGACCUGGAGCUGUCAGAGCAGCGCUUUGAGCCUGACCUGAAUUUGUCACCAUGCUGAGCAAGCACCUACCCAUGA
This is a long non-coding RNA of Lagopus leucura (white-tailed ptarmigan), 382 nucleotides long. RefSeq lists it as uncharacterized. The transcript has 4 exons. The record is from RefSeq and is a predicted model, not a curated record. NCBI's taxonomy places the organism in Eukaryota, Metazoa, Chordata, Aves, Galliformes, Phasianidae.